RNAcentral lists this ribosomal RNA (502 nucleotides) under uncultured Rikenellaceae bacterium. RNAcentral describes it as "bacterial SSU rRNA". It matches the Rfam family "Bacterial small subunit ribosomal RNA", at positions 885 to 1382 of the family's 1533-position model. Lineage: Bacteria; Pseudomonadati; Bacteroidota; Bacteroidia; Bacteroidales; Rikenellaceae. The record is from RNAcentral.
GCCAGCCCGCUCAGAAACUCAAAGGAAGUUGACGGGGCCCGGCACAAGCGGAGGAACAUGUGGUUUAAUUCGAUGAUACGCGAGGAACCUUACCUGGGCCAGAACGCAAUCGGAAUCAGGCCGAAAGGUCUGCGCCAGCGAUGGCCGCUUGCGAGGUGCUGCAUGGUUGUCGUCAGCUCGUGCCGUGAGGUGUCGGGUUAAGUCCCAUAACGAGCGCAACCCCUACUGCUAGUUGCCAGCGGGUCAUGCCGGGGACUCUAGCGGAACUGCCAGCGUAAGCUGCGAGGAAGGUGGGGAUGACGUCAAAUCAGCACGGCCCUUACGUCCAGGGCUACACACGUGUUACAAUGGCCAGUACAGAGGGCAGCCACCCCGCGAGGGGGCGCUAAUCCUAAAAGCUGGUCCCAGUUCGGAUCGGAGUCUGCAACCCGACUCCGUGAAGCUGGAUUCGCUAGUAAUCGCGCAUCAGCCACGGCCGCGGUGAAUAACGUUACCGGGCCUU